GACAGAGGGUGCAAACGUUGUUCGGAAUCACUGGGCUUAAAGGGCGCGUAGGCGGGUCGUCAAGUCAGGGGUGAAAUCCUGCGGCUCAACCGUAGAAGAGCCUUUGAUACUGACGAUCUUGAGGGAGGUAGGGGCGUGCGGAACUUCCGGUGGAGCGGUGAAAUGCGUAGAUAUCGGAAGGAACGCCGAUGGCGAAAGCAGCGCGCUGGACCUCUUCUGACGCUGAGGCGCGAAAGCUAGGGGAGCAAACGGG
RNAcentral lists this ribosomal RNA (253 nucleotides) under uncultured bacterium. Its description in RNAcentral is "partial 16S ribosomal RNA". It matches the Rfam family "Bacterial small subunit ribosomal RNA", at positions 524 to 776 of the family's 1533-position model. The record is from RNAcentral.